Molecule: non-coding RNA, 75 nt
Organism: Podarcis lilfordi (Lilford's wall lizard)
Lineage: Eukaryota; Metazoa; Chordata; Lepidosauria; Squamata; Lacertidae
Source: the annotation of a GenBank genome assembly
GCCUGAGCUCAGCUCAGUUGGUAGAGCAUGUGACUCUUAAUCUCAGGGUUAUGGGUUCGUGCGCCACGUUGGGCA